AACGUAGGAGACAAACGUUAUCCGGAGUUACUGGGCGUAAAGGGCGUGCAGGCGGUCGACUAAGUCUGGCGUGAAAGCUCUCGGCUAAACCGGGAGAGGUCGUUGGAUACUGGUUGACUAGAGGACGGUAGAGGCGUGUGGAAUUCCGGGUGUAGUGGUGAAAUGCGUAGAGAUCCGGAGGAACACCAGUGGCGAAGGCGACACGCUGGGCCGUACCUGACGCUGAUACGCGACAGCAUGGGGAGCGAACGGG
This 253-nucleotide ribosomal RNA is filed under the name uncultured bacterium. Its description in RNAcentral is "partial 16S ribosomal RNA". It matches the Rfam family "Bacterial small subunit ribosomal RNA", at positions 524 to 776 of the family's 1533-position model. The record is from RNAcentral.